Molecule: ribosomal RNA, 403 nt
Filed under: uncultured bacterium
Lineage: Bacteria
Description: partial 16S ribosomal RNA
Rfam family: Bacterial small subunit ribosomal RNA
Source: RNAcentral
GACGAACGCUGGCGGCGUGCCUAAUACAUGCAAGUCGAACGCAGUGGGGACGGGUGAGUAACACGUGGGUAACCUCCCAUCAGAGGGGAUAACACUUGGAAACAGGUGCUAAACCGAUACUGAUGGAUGGACCCGCGGUGCAUUAGCUAGUUUGUGAGGUAACGGCUCACCAAGGCCACGAUGCAUAGCUGACCUGAUAGGGUGAUCGGCCACAUUGGGACUGAGACACGGCCCAGACGUCAACGGGAGGCAGCAGUAGGGCAUCUUAGGCAAUGGACGAAAGUCUGACAGAGAAACGCAGAGUGAGUGAAGAAGGUUUUCGGAUCGUAAAACUCUGUUGUUAGAGAAGCGGUAUCUAACCAGAAAGCCACGGCUAACUACGUGAAAGCAGACACGGAAAUAC